This 381-nucleotide ribosomal RNA is filed under the name uncultured bacterium. RNAcentral's name for it is "bacterial SSU rRNA". It matches the Rfam family "Bacterial small subunit ribosomal RNA", at positions 986 to 1365 of the family's 1533-position model. The record is from RNAcentral.
AUCCACUGUGACUUCUCAAAUGAGAAUUUCCUUCGGGACAGGGGAGACAGGUGGUGCAUGGUUGUCGUCAGCUCGUGUCGUGAGAUGUUGGGUUAAGUCCCGCAACGAGCGCAACCCUUAUCUUUAGUAGCCAGCAUUUCAGGCUGGGCACUCUAGAGAGACUGCCAGGGAUAACCUGGAGGAAGGUGGGGAUGACGUCAAAUCAUCAUGCCCCUUAUGACCAGGGCUACACACGUGCUACAAUGGCGUAUACAAAGGGAAGCGACCCCGCGAGGGGGAGCAAAUCUCAAAAAUACGUCUCAGUUCGGAUUGUAGUCUGCAACUCGACUACAUGAAGUCUGGAAUCGAUAAUAAUGCGCUGAAUCAGAUGUCAGCGUGAUA